UGCCUUUGAGAUUAGUCUUUAAAAAGCGUUGCUGGGAGUAUCUGGAUGAUGUGGAAGCAGAAGUUGGGGAGUAUUGAGCCUGGGAUAUAAGGUCUAUAAAGUUAAAAAUGUUAAAUUAUAUCUCUGGUUGCAAUGGAUAAACCUAGAUUAUUUUGAUUUUUUAUUUUUUUGAGAGUGGGGGCCUCACUCUGUUGCCCAGGCUGGAGUGCAGUGGCACGAUCGUAGCUCACUAUAACCUCAAAUUCCUGUAUCUAGAUUUAAUUCAUAAAAUUUAGGGCUUAAAAUUGGCAUCUAACUCAGCUUAUUUUUCAGCUUCAUCAAUUUUGAGCAAAUGUGUCAAAACUUGGAGAGAGUUUUUUGCCCAAUAGUCGCAUGACCAAGUAAAAGUGAAGGAGGUGACAAGAGACUUGGACUGUGGUAGGUAGAAGCGGAUAGACUGAGAGCUACUUAAAUUAGUAGGAGUUGAGAAUUAACCAGAUUUGCAGGGUGACAAAGAAUAGCUCCCAAAUUUCUGGCUUAAGCAACUGGAUAUUUGGCACUACCAUUUGCUGAAAGAGCAUCUCCCCCACCCCAAAAGUAGGAAGGGAGAAGGAUAGGAAGACGGGUUCCAUUCCUGUUGAACUUGUGAGCCUGAGACACGUGAACGUAGACAUUAUUCACUGGACAUAUGGGUCACUGGAUAUAGGGGUCUACAGCUCAGAGGAGAGUUUUGAGCUGCAGAUGUAGACUUAGCAAACAAUGAUUAAAGCUGUGGGAAAUAUGCAAUUAUUUGGAGACAAUGUGAGGUGAGAGAAGAAGGGGCCAGAAAGAUCCCUGAACAACUUCAGUGUUUAGAGGUUGGAUACAGUAGGAGGAACUAGAAAAGGAGGAGAUAGAAAAAGCAGCCAGAGGAAGAGGAAAACCACAAGGAGCAGUGCCAGGAGAAUAAUUAGGAGAAGGGUGUGGUCAGCUGUUUCAAAUGCUGCUGAGACAUGAAAUCAGUGAGAACUCAGUGUCCUUUGGACUUGGAGACAGAAGUGAAGGUGAUCUUGGCAAGAGCAACUGCAAUGAAAUGGUGGUAAGAAAAAUCAGAUUGCUGGUGGUGGUGCAGAGACCUAUUCUUGGCCCCCAAUUGCAAAUCUCUCCUCUCUUCUUAGAAAUAGACCUCACAUUUUUUGUUCACGGCAUCCUAGAAUAAAAACUACAUUUCACAGUCUCCUUUGUGUGGUCUUGGGGCUAAGUGCUGGCCAAUGGAAUGUACGCAGAAGUGUCACAAGUGACUUCCAGGAAGCAUUCUUCAAGCUUCAAGGGAGGGGUGGGCCCUUUUUGUUGCCUUCCUCCUUCCUAUUGGCCAGAAAGCGUAAGCAUCAUAUUGGACCAUGAGGUAGUGAGGAACAUUUGGAAGCCACAAGUUGAGAAUGGCAAAACCUGAGAGAAAUUAAGUGAGGUGAAUCACGAAAUGGGAGAUGAAAGGAUGAGGUGUUGGGGGGAGCGUAUGAAGAUCUGAGGAGACAAGGCAGAUUUAAAACAGUUGCUGCAGAGAGGAGGAGACAGCGAGCUGACCCAACCCUCAGCUCCAGUGGAGAAGCAGGGCUUCAUCUUCUGGACACCAGCACAUCUUAGAUUGUGCCUUCCUUGUCAACACCAAGGCAAGCUGAGCCAGGAGGAUAGUGGAAGGUCACACAGGUAGAAAACCUGCUGACCAAACUGCCCCUGGUAAGAGUUACUUGGGAAGCUGAACCAAAGAUUUUUGCUGCUAUGUUGACUCACAGUAGAAUGUGAGCAGACAAGACACUGUAGAUGAGCCACUCCUGAGGAGCUCUGUUAAAUAUAGAUAAAGUGGAGGAGGGAGUCAGGCUGGCUGCCUUCCUAUUUAGGAUCUAGCAGAAACCCCAUUAGGAAAUAUUCCGUUCUGAAUGGCUUCUGGCUAAAUGGCUUGUGAGGAAACAGCCUGAUCAAUGGUAAGUACGACUGAAGACCCAGUGCUAUGGACUGAAUUGUGUCUUCCUCAGAUUCAUAUGUUGAAACCCUAACCAGCAAUGUGACAGUAUCUAGAGAUAGGAUCUUUAGGAGGUAAUUAAGAUUAAAAUGAGGAUAUAAGGGUGAGGCUCUAUUGCAAUAGACUGUGGCCUUAUAGGAAGAGGGAGAGAGAGAGACCUUUCUUUUUCUCCCUCUCUCCCAUGUGAGGACAGUGAGAAGGCAGCCACCUGCAAGCCAGGAAGCAUGCCCUCAGCCAGAAGCAGACCACACUGGCACCCUGAUCUCAGACUUCUGGCUUCCAGAACUGUGAGAAAUAUACUUUCUGUUGUUUAAGCUGUGCAGCCUAUCAUAUUUUGUUAUGGCAGCCUGAGCAGACUAAGACACCCAGUGUCUCUGGGGUGAGAGGUAGGGUAGGGGUGUCCUCUCACUUCUAAACCACUUCCCUGGAGAGGAAGGCAGGAGGAGGGUGCCCAGCUGGGAGCCACGGAGGGAAGCCUGGCUCUGGCCACACAACACAAGCUUUAGCAACUUCGUGGGACCCUGGAAUAUAACAGGGAUUCCCUACUGUAGGAGGCUUGGUGGAACUACUUCAGCCUGGGAAACAGAGAGAAUCUACUUUUUAACUGGGAAUCUGGCAGAAGCUAAAAGGAACUUAAGACAUUUCUCAACAAUCUCACACCUGAAAGAUGGCUUAGCAAAUUCCAGCUGUCACUGUCUGCCCAUCCUUCUCCUGCAGCACCAGACCUAAUACAUUUUGGGUUCGAUCCCUUAAUAUGUGUAAGCAUUUACACUGCAAGUAAGAGGAAAUUCUCGCUGGAAUGACCAGGCCAAGAAAAGAAAAAUGGAAACGACCUAAAAUGCCUAACAAUGGAAAUGAGUUGAAUCCAUCUGGCUCAUAGACAUGACGAAAUACUGAAUGGCCACCAUAAAUGGACAUAUGUUUAUUGAUGAGGAAAGAUCUUUAUAACAUAUUGUCAAGUGAACAAAAAAGCAUGCUAUAAAAAAAGGUCAUGCAGAAUAAUCUUAUUUUGUAAAAAAAAAAAAAGUGUGUAUUAGUCCA
This 3019-nucleotide long non-coding RNA is filed under the name Homo sapiens (human). RNAcentral's name for it is "HSALNT0336131". Lineage: Eukaryota; Metazoa; Chordata; Mammalia; Primates; Hominidae. The record is from RNAcentral.